RNAcentral lists this ribosomal RNA (282 nucleotides) under Triticum aestivum (bread wheat). RNAcentral's name for it is "partial small subunit ribosomal RNA". The record is from RNAcentral. Lineage: Eukaryota; Viridiplantae; Streptophyta; Magnoliopsida; Poales; Poaceae.
AUGCCGGCUGAUCGUGCACCUCGGCCGGACGGUUUCUCUAGGCUAUUUUACAAGAGCUGCUGGGGUAUUAUUGCAAAGGACUUCAUGGCUGUGUUGCACGCACUUUCUGAGGAUCGUUUUUACUCCUUUCAAGCUCUGAACUCGUCCAUUAUUACCCUGCUGCCCAAGAAUGAGGAUCCGCUGCAGCUAGGGGACUUCAGACCAAUUAAUCUGAUCCACGGGGUUGCUAAUUUUUUGCCAAAGCCCUUACAACCCGGCUGGCACCUCUUCUGCCUUCAUUAA